Molecule: microRNA precursor, 60 nt
Filed under: Mus spretus (western wild mouse)
Lineage: Eukaryota; Metazoa; Chordata; Mammalia; Rodentia; Muridae
Description: microRNA 7675 (ENSMSPG00010005228.1)
Source: RNAcentral
CUUAACGAAAGAAUGAAGAGCAAGCUGCGUUCUGGGCUUGUUUUCAUUUGUUCGUGACUC